GUCAAACUGGUUUGCAAAGGAAUAAUCUCCUUGACAUCACCCAGGAUUAGUCACCAAUAUGGAUUAAUGUCUUUACACCAAAUGUGUUCCAUAUCCCCCCUCCCAUCGCUACAUCUCCAGCAUUUGUCGCUAACUGUGGGCCAGUAGGUAUGGAGCUGUACCAGGGUCCUAUACCAUCUGGUGACUCAUUUAUAAAAGGUCUUGUUAGUUCAUGUGGGGUAUAUUGUUCUUAUCAUGUUGUGUGAAUAUGAUUAUUAUCUGCGUGAGUGUUUUUUUGCAUUUCAGCACUUAUAUAGAUUAUUGAAGCAUCCACACAGUGAGAUGCAUAGGUCUCUAAUAAACAUGAUGAUGACAGUUAGCAAGUUGAUGUUACAUAUUUUGGACUCGG
Pelobates cultripes (western spadefoot toad) is the source of this 388-nucleotide non-coding RNA. NCBI's taxonomy places the organism in Eukaryota, Metazoa, Chordata, Amphibia, Anura, Pelobatidae. The record is from the annotation of a GenBank genome assembly.